GAUGAACGCUAGCGGGAGGCCUAACACAUGCAAGCCGAGCGGUAUUUGUUCUUCGGAACAGAGAGAGCGGCGCACGGGUGCGGAACACGUGUGCAACCUGCCUUUAUCUGGGGGAUAGCCUUUCGAAAGGAAGAUUAAUACCCCAUAAUAUAUUGAGUGGCAUCAUUUGAUAUUGAAAACUCCGGUGGAUAGAGAUGGGCACGCGCAAGAUUAGAUAGUUGGUGAGGUAACGGCUCACCAAGUCAAUGAUCUUUAGGGGGCCUGAGAGGGUGAUCCACCAGACUUGUACUGAGACACGGACCAGACUCCUACGGGAGGCAGCAGUGAGGAAUAUUGGACAAUGGGGUAGCGCCUGAUACAGCCAUCCCGCGUGAAGGACGACGGCCCUAUGGGUUGUAAACUUCUUUUGUAUAGGGAUAAACCUACUCUCGUGAGAGUAGCUGAAGGUACUAUACGAAUAAGCACCGGCUAACUCCGUG
This 479-nucleotide ribosomal RNA is filed under the name uncultured bacterium. Its description in RNAcentral is "partial 16S ribosomal RNA". It matches the Rfam family "Bacterial small subunit ribosomal RNA", at positions 28 to 507 of the family's 1533-position model. The record is from RNAcentral.